Molecule: long non-coding RNA, 2367 nt
Organism: Panthera uncia (snow leopard)
Lineage: Eukaryota; Metazoa; Chordata; Mammalia; Carnivora; Felidae
Exons: 5
Source: RefSeq, a predicted model, not a curated record
CGCGGUCGGGGCAGGGCCGUGUCCUCUCGUGUGUUGUCCUCAAAACCAGAGCCACCGCGGCGCCCGAACAGAGGCGCUGUCGCGUCUCCAAAGCGGUGCUGAACGUGGCCAACACACACCCUUGUCGCGUGUGGCGGGUCGCGUGCUGUGAAUGAAUUCCCUCUUGUCCCAAGUCCACACCGGAGCCGAUCGUCUCCAGGGUGCCCACGGGGUGCGUCCUUGUGUCCCCGCGCUACCUUUUGUCUGUCUGGUGGCUUCGUGGGCAGAGAAGGACGUUUUCUGAGAAGGGGGAUCUGAAGGUUCAGCAGGCCGCCUUGGGAGGAAGGUGGGGGCCUUCGGUUCCGGACGCGUUUCUCCCCGGGCGCAGCUGCGAGGCAGGAUUCAGUCCGAAGAUUUCGGAGGUGGAAGGACCUGCCAACUGAUCCAGACGGUCACCUCGGGGCGACGGGGUUAUUCACCGCCUUCCUCCUCAAGGUCGUCUCCCUCCGGGCGCGCGCUCCGGCCACUUCCCAGCGACGACGGAGCGUCGCCGGGCGAUUCCGGGCAGAGGAGCGCAGGGGUGAGCCGGAGAGCGACACGCGGUCAAAGGAGAGAGUCAGGAAGGUACAGGUUCCGCACGGGGACAAGAGAGCCCGAUGGAAAGUGACAGGAGAACCGACCAUCCGGGAUCACUUCCAACAACAGCAGGGAAGCCGCUGUGGUGAUCGAGCAUUUCCUGCCCGGGUGACAGCGAGAAGCUUUGGCGGUGCAAAGGCCCCGGGGUACUGAUGCGGGAAAUCUGUGAUACAGCCAGACUGCCCCGAGGAGGAGCCGCACGUUUGGGGUUCCAACCUGAGUUGAGCAGCUGCCCGAGAGCUUCCCUGAGGCAGUUCCAGGGCUCCACACCAAUCACAGCGAGGCCAAGGCCAUAAAGAGCAGGAGCAGGAUCGUGCCCGGAGAACCCGCGCGUGGCAAAAUGGAGGAGGGUGGUCCCAGCGGUUUCCCCUGCUGGUUCCUGCGCCCAGUCGGGAGUCAGGAGGAAGAAUCACAAGGGACGCUCGCUCGCUCGCUCAGCCUUUGCUCAGGGGUUCUGCCAGGUGAGACCCGCGGUAGACGUCCCCGUGGAUGUGGCUGCCCCGUGGGGCUUCAGGCGGCCUUGCGGCCGUGCCUUCUUCUCCCGCGUUUCUUCGAGAACGCCCGCGUCCCGGGCGGCACCAAACCCCACGCAGCGGGAACGACGUAAUAUCGGAGGAAAAAGCACGGGUGGAGGAGCCGGGGGUCGAACCCGGGGCCUCGUACAUGCGAAGCACGCGCUCUACCACUGAGCUACACCCCCAGCCGCAGGGGGCGGCAUCACCUGUAAACUGAAAACCGCAUGCGCGGCUCACGUUGUAUUUCCGUCGGAGAAAGUAGACGCGCCCAGCUCGGCGAGCUCAGGCUGCACCCGCUGUAACGAGGUCUGCGGCUCAGUGGGGUCUCAGCCUCUCAACGAGGGUCGGAGUUGCGGCCCCUGGAGUUGUUUCCUGUUUGCUCUGCAUUAUUUCCAGCUUCUGUACGGAAAGGGCGCCGCCUAACGACCGCCAGCGUGUCCCUCCUCUUGUCACCGCCCGAGGGCUCAGCUGGCUUCUGAGAAGCAGGGCGCUGAGGGCGCGAGAGCACGAGACAGCCCUGACGGGUGCGAUCCAGCGACUUCUACUCUGUCCUCAUCUAGGCACGCAGCUUCCGAGGUUCCUUCCAGGAUCCAGACGAGUUGAACAAGAAUUUAAGGAUGAAAGGCAAGGGAGAGAUCUGGAACGAGGAACGAGGUCCAAUCACAGGGCUCGGGCUCUUCCUAGAGCAAACACUUACACCUAGGGAGCCCUGCAGCUUGAAUUGUGCAGAUAGUGACGCCUUCUGCACAAAAUAGUAACUAUAGGAGGAGGGGAGACAGUUCUAUUCUUUUUGUCCUUGUUGUGACUGGUCUGUUGAUUUGCUUUUGCUUUGGGCGCGUAUGUGGAGCAGUAAGGGGGAAACGAAUAGUUUGAGUUUGGAUAGGCAUAUUUCAAGUAUCUACAGGAUAGCCCCUUGAGGGUGUCUCUUAAACACAUUACAAGCGGAGUCUGGAAUUCUCGAGACAUCUCUGACCCUGAAUUUCGGACAUUCAUGUGUCUGGGAGGAGAGUGCCGGUUAGGAGUGGGUAGAGUAAGGACUUAAAGUUGUCCAUUAAGACCAGAAGAUAAAGGGGGCACCUGGGCACCUGGGUGGCUCAGUGGGUUGAGCAUCGACUCUUGAUUUCGGCUCAAGCCAUGAUCAGGGUCGCGGAAUCAAGUCCCAAGUUGAGUUCUGCACUGAUAGCACAGGGCCUGCUUGGAAUCCUCUCUCUCUCUCUCUCUCUCUCUCUCUCUCUCU